This 100-nucleotide transfer RNA is filed under the name Neoroseomonas lacus. Its description in RNAcentral is "tRNA-Pro". Lineage: Bacteria; Pseudomonadati; Pseudomonadota; Alphaproteobacteria; Acetobacterales; Acetobacteraceae. The record is from RNAcentral.
GCCCGGGCGCAGUCGGCGUUGGCGCGGCGUGCCGCCUGGGGCGGGGCGAUGGGCUCGCUGCUGACGCAGGUCGCGCUGCUCGGUUCGGUGGCCUGGGCGC